This 1514-nucleotide ribosomal RNA is filed under the name uncultured bacterium. Its description in RNAcentral is "bacterial SSU rRNA". It matches the Rfam family "Bacterial small subunit ribosomal RNA". The record is from RNAcentral.
AGAGUUUGAUCAUGGCUCAGAUUGAACGCUGGCGGCAGGCCUAACACAUGCAAGUCGAGCGGAAACGAGUUAACUGAACCUUCGGGGAACGUUAACGGCGUCGAGCGGCGGACGGGUGAGUAAUGCCUAGGAAAUUGCCCUGAUGUGGGGGAUAACCAUUGGAAACGAUGGCUAAUACCGCAUGAUGCCUACGGGCCAAAGAGGGGGACCUUCGGGCCUCUCGCGUCAGGAUAUGCCUAGGUGGGAUUAGCUAGUUGGUGAGGUAAGGGCUCACCAAGGCGACGAUCCCUAGCUGGUCUGAGAGGAUGAUCAGCCACACUGGAACUGAGACACGGUCCAGACUCCUACGGGAGGCAGCAGUGGGGAAUAUUGCACAAUGGGCGCAAGCCUGAUGCAGCCAUGCCGCGUGUGUGAAGAAGGCCUUCGGGUUGUAAAGCACUUUCAGUCGUGAGGAAGGUAGUGUAGUCAAUAGCUGCAUUAUUUGACGUUAGCGACAGAAGAAGCACCGGCUAACUCCGUGCCAGCAGCCGCGGUAAUACGGAGGGUGCGAGCGUUAAUCGGAAUUACUGGGCGUAAAGCGCAUGCAGGUGGUUUGUUAAGUCAGAUGUGAAAGCCCGGGGCUCAACCUCGGAAUAGCAUUUGAAACUGGCAGACUAGAGUACUGUAGAGGGGGGUAGAAUUUCAGGUGUAGCGGUGAAAUGCGUAGAGAUCUGAAGGAAUACCGGUGGCGAAGGCGGCCCCCUGGACAGAUACUGACACUCAGAUGCGAAAGCGUGGGGAGCAAACAGGAUUAGAUACCCUGGUAGUACACGCCGUAAACGAUGUCUACUUGGAGGUUGUGGCCUUGAGCCGUGGCUUUCGGAGCUAACGCGUUAAGUAGACCGCCUGGGGAGUACGGUCGCAAGAUUAAAACUCAAAUGAAUUGACGGGGGCCCGCACAAGCGGUGGAGCAUGUGGUUUAAUUCGAUGCAACGCGAAGAACCUUACCUACUCUUGACAUCCAGAGAACUUUUCAGAGAUGAAUUGGUGCCUUCGGGAACUCUGAGACAGGUGCUGCAUGGCUGUCGUCAGCUCGUGUUGUGAAAUGUUGGGUUAAGUCCCGCAACGAGCGCAACCCUUAUCCUUGUUUGCCAGCGAGUAAUGUCGGGAACUCCAGGGAGACUGCCGGUGAUAAACCGGAGGAAGGUGGGGACGACGUCAAGUCAUCAUGGCCCUUACGAGUAGGGCUACACACGUGCUACAAUGGCGCAUACAGGGGGCGGCCAACUUGCGAAAGUGAGCGAAUCCCAAAAAGUGCGUCGUAGUCCGGAUUGGAGUCUGCAACUCGACUCCAUGAAGUCGGAAUCGCUAGUAAUCGUGGAUCAGAAUGCCACGGUGAAUACGUUCCCGGGCCUUGUACACACCGCCCGUCACACCAUGGGAGUGGGCUGCAAAAGAAGUAGGUAGUUUAACCUUCGGGGGGACGCUUACCACUUUGUGGUUCAUGACUGGGGUGAAGUCGUAACAAGGUAACC